CAUAGGGGUGAGAAAUGGACUUUGGCGUGCCUUAAAAGUCGUCAGUCUUUUUCUCUCUCCUAUA
Molecule: microRNA precursor, 64 nt
Filed under: Folsomia candida
Lineage: Eukaryota; Metazoa; Arthropoda; Collembola; Entomobryomorpha; Isotomidae
Description: mir-14 microRNA precursor family
Rfam family: mir-14 microRNA precursor family
Source: Rfam by way of RNAcentral